This 5974-nucleotide long non-coding RNA is filed under the name Mytilus galloprovincialis (Mediterranean mussel). Lineage: Eukaryota; Metazoa; Mollusca; Bivalvia; Mytilida; Mytilidae. The record is from RNAcentral.
GUUUCGUCUAAAAGGUAGAUUUUAUUCUUUAUUUAUAAAUAACAUAUAUGGCCUAGAUUUGUUACGCAGUAUAAAUAUCAAAUUUAAAUGUUACCAGAGACAUUAUAUGUGAUAUGUCUAACCAAGGAUUUGUAUAGUAAGACUAUACAAAUCCUUGGUCUAACUGAAUCGGAAAUUUCCGAAUGUCAAUUUUAGUUUAUUGUCUGUCGAAAACUUGUAAUCACUUUAUAUGGGGACGAAGUCCCCAAUUACGGUAGAAAAAUCAAUUAAAAAAAAAAAAAAAAAAAAAUCGGGAAAAUUUCCCGAAUUUUUCAUUCUCGACUCCUAGGAGUCGAGAUUAAGAAUUGAACGAUGGACAGUUAGGGCGUGAAUUUGUCUUGCUACCUGAUUGGAAGAUAUUACAAGACGUGAAUAAUCAAAAUUUAUUGAUUGGUUAGGACAAUCCAAACCAAGUAAAUGUCCUUCAAUCCCGUAGAGUAUCGGAUUUGUCCUCUCUAUUUUAGCAUUUAGAAUUUACACAGGUAACCUUUAUCUAUAAAUAGUCGAAUCUUCUGGAGUAAACAACAAGUAAUAGCUUUUCUAAAAAGCUAAGUCAGUGUUCUCCCCAGGCCGUUUUAGCGUCGCGGUACCGCGACGCUAUAUUUUUUCACCGUGAUGCUAUAAUAAUUCCCGCGACGCUAUAAUUAUUCCCGCGACGCCAUAAUUAUUUUGAAGAUGCUAAUACUUGUCCUCAAUUUUGAACUUUCAUCUAUUAUCGAUUAUGAUCAUAAAAAUUAUAUCACCUUUAAUUGUAAUCCCUUUAAGUCGGACACUAAAGGCAAUUAGAGAUUAAAUAGCUAGGUGUUAAUUGCCCUCAGGGUGAUAACUGUUUGGAUGCGAAUAUCCCAAGCUGACACUUGUGACAUGACUAAUACCACGUGUCUGCAAUCACAAAACAAUUCGAAAUCUACGUUUUGUAUUACGAAAUUUCAAAGAUUGAAACGAUUUUUUUUUUUUUUUUAAAAAGGUCGUUUAUUUGUGCAACUCUCCAAAUAUUUCUUUCUCUUCCGGUAAUACGAGAGCGAGAAUUUUGGUUUAGAGCUAAAAUAAGUUUAAUACUUUUUUAAAAAGUUAUCAUAAUUGGCUUAAGUGUAUGUUUAAUCCAUUUAAUGCAUUAAAAGCGUCUUAUUCAUUCACAAUCUCUUGUCAAACAAUGUUUAUUCUCGGACUCAUUUUCGUAAAUUUUACUACGGCCGCCAUUGCACAUUUGUGUGUAAACUACGGAUCGGAACCGGACUAGAUAUGACAAAAAUCCGCAUUUUCACGAUAAUGACAACAGAUUGACAGUAGACAGAAAAAAUAAACCAAGAGAGAAAACUACGCAUUAACAGACUAUUUGUUAGAUAACUUUGUUAAAAAUACAUAUGAUUUUGAUGUAAAGAUAAGAAACAACUGGGACUAAUUCAUUGAGUGGCAUGAAACCAUGAAUGUCAUAAACAUGAUAAAAAAAAGUUUUUAAAUUGAUUUUUUUUUGCUUCUUUUGCUACUUUAUCUUUACUUGAUAUAAUAUAAAAAGUAGUUAAUUUUGUGUACUAGAUAAUUUAGUUUUGUAUAUAUACAGGUUGCACUAUAAUGAACCAUUCAUUCAUUUGACUUAUUGUUGGGUAACUGAAACCACAUAUUUAUUUUUAUUUGGCAAAAGAGGAAAAAAAUAAUUCUGUACUAUAAAUGAAAAAAGAAGACAUAAACUGAAACAACUGUUUUUGUGGUUAUAGUUUAAUUAUAUUCUCAGUUAUGAAUUGAACAAUAUAAACUAAAACAUAUAAACGAAAUAGAGCAUCAACGCGAAGCGACAAACGACAUUAAAAAAAAUACAGUUAUUUUUUUUUAAUGCAAAAUGUGAUGCUAUCCAAAAUUUCUGGGAAGGACACUGAGCUUGCCGUAUUUUAGCUGAUUAUAUUGAGGGUUUAGAAGUAUUAUAGGUUUUUUUUUUUUUGGAAUAUUGCACUCCAAGCAAUAUGAAUGCAUAGCGCUUUUUUCUACUAAUUUGUGAUUUUAGUUGUAUUAUUGGUGGACCAGAGUUAUAAUGGAAGGAGACUUAAUAAUAAUUGAGAAUGGAAAUUGGGAAUGAUAUUAUAAUAAAACGCAUACUGUGUCUAUAACCAACUUGAUAAAAAAAGCAUUAUAAAAUACAUGUACUUUUGAGGAUUACAACUUGACAAAAUGGACUUCUACAGAAGGUCUUUCAAAUUUGAGAAUGUUACAUCUUAUAUCUUCAUGUAUAGAAGUGAUUGAUAUCUGAUCUGACUUUUGUCUUAGAAAAUGCAAUUAGUUUUGACUGUACAAGUGUUGUUAUUACUAAUUUUGAGAUGUAAUAAUACUUGAAAAAGAUGUUUUUAUGGGAAUUGGAAUGAAAUGGUAAUUGCAAAUAAUUUUCUUCAACAUGUUGUCACCUGCCUUCAUAUAUGUUUUAAUAUAUCACUUUGUGAUUUGUAAUCUUGACAAUUAUUUUUUGAAGUUCCAGUGGCGGAUUCAGGGGGGGGGGGGGGGGGGGGUCCGUGUUGGAAGUCCACCUUUUUUCGGCCGAUCAAUGAAUUUGAAAUGGGGCUUAUAGUUGGAAGCCCUCCCCCUUUUGUCCUGGGUUGGAACCUCCCCUUUUAAAAUGGCUGAAUCUGCCACGAGACCUGAAAAUGAGAGCUUCAUAUUAGUAUUAGCCUGUUAUAGUGUUUUAUAUUUGGUUGCAUGUGUUAUCAAGCUUUUGUGACAUUGAAUAUUUAUAUUUUCAUUUCUAAUGGCAAAAAUUUCAUGUAAUACAUAUUGUCAGGAUUAUUAGUUAGUUUUACUUGUUAAUGUUUAUUGUCAUAAUCGGAAAGUGAGUGGCAGAUCCAGAAAUUUUCCUAAGUGGAGACAGGCUCUCACGUGUGUGGUAAAAUUUGUUCAUUGAUGCACGUGGCUAUUCUAGUAAAUGAAUUAAUCUACAAAUCUCUGAUUUACCUGUUUGAACAUUUCGCGAGAGUUCAUAUUUGCAUAUUGUUAUAAAGAAUCCUAUUACAACAAAGCAGAUUACAUCAUCUAAAAUUUGCGUUACGAAAUUGGAAACCAAAGUAACGCUAGUGUUCUUACACCUGCUACAGAAAUACUUAUAGUUCUCGGCAUUUUCUUCUGACUAUUCUUAUUGGUCGAUGUUCUUUAUUAUUUGAAAAGCAAAAGUUACGAAUUUGCCGGUGACAAUUAUCUAUAAAUCAGUCAGCGUUAUGCACUUCGGAAGCGAAAAGUAACGCGAGAAACGACACAAAAAUACGGUCGUAUAAUCUUUGAAAUUUGUUAAUUUCAAUUUUUUUCUAGGGAAGAGUAGCAUACACUUGUAUGUUGAUAAACAUAUAGGCAUCUUUAGAUGUAGUUACAACUUUUCUUACAGUAAUACAUAUUUUUAUUACUUUUCUAUAGUUAUAGGAAACGAGCCCAAUAGCAAAUUAUGGUCCAUAUUUGGUAUGUGCAUAUCUUGCAAGGUCCUCAUGCCAGUUUUCACUUGACCUCGACCUCAUUUCAUGGAUCAGUAAACAAGGUUAAGUUUUGGUGGUCAAGUCAAUAUCUCAGAUACUAUAAGCAAUAGGUCUAGCAUAUUUGGCGUAUGGAACGAUUGUAAGGUGUACAUGUCCAACUGGCAGGUGUCAUCUGACCUUGACCUUAUUUUCAUGGUUCAGUGGUUAUAGUUAAGUUUUUGUGCUUUGGUCAGUUUUUCUUAUACCGGCUGUAUGAAAUAGAUGUAUGGAAUGAUUGUAAGGUGUACAUGUCUAGCUGGCAGGUGUCAUCUGACCUUUACCUCAUUUUCAUGGUUCAGCACUUGGUAAAAGUUAAAUUUUUGAGUUUUGGUCUUUUUAUCUAAUACUAUAUGCAAUAGGUCAACUAUAUUUGGUAUAUGGAAAUGUUUUAUGAUCUAUAUGUCAGUCGCACAGGUUUUAUUUGACCUUGACCUCAUUUUUACGGUUCAUUGCUUAGUGUUAUAUAUUUGUGAUUUGGUCUGUUUUUCUUAAACUAUAAGCAAAUAAUUAGGUUAAUUAUAUUUGUUGUACAGAAAGAUUGCAAGCUGUACAUGUCUGCUUGGCAUGUUUCAUCUGACCUUGACCUCAUUUUCAUGGUUCAUUAGUCAAUAUUUAGUUUUCUGGUUGAGUGUCUAUUAGAAACUAAGCAAUAGGUCAACUAUAUUUAGUGUAUUGAAUGAUAGUAAGGUGUACAUGUAUUUCUUGUUUGGUUUAUAUGAUAUUGACCUUAAUUUCUUGGAUCAUGUUAAGUUUAUGUGAUAGUUAGUAGUAAAGCUUUAUAUUUAGGACUAUCAUCAUGGUAUCAAUGAUAAUGUAGUAAAGAAGGUGAGACAUUUCAGUGUGUGCACUCUUAUCUUGAUUAAGUCUGUUUCUUAGACUAUAAGCAGUUUGUUUACUAUAUUUGGUAUAUAAAUUGAUUGUAAAGUGUACAUGUAUUUCUUGUUUGGUUUAUCUGACCUUGACCUCAUUUUCUUGGGUCAUGUUAAGUUUAUGUAAUAUUUGUAUAGAUUUAUUAUAAUUGAAAACACUGUCUCACAGUAAGAAUUGAUGUUUGACUGAACUUAAUUAGCUUCAUCAAGCUUUGAAAGAAUGUCGAUAACGUUGUUUUUGUUUUUUUUGCAAUGUAAAAUGUCCUCUUUUAUCUCUGCCAUUGCUCCCAUUGCUAUUGCCUGGUAGUUCAUCAGAAGAUAGCUGGUACUAUGAGAGUUGACCCAAACCAUGGCUUUCUUUUACAUUUUAUUUUUUUUCAAUGGGGCGUUUUGUUGACUUAUUUUGCUGAUUUUUUUUGCGUUUUCAUAUAAAAUUGAUGUUUUUUAGUAUAAAUUUUUGCAUUUGUUAGUUGAAAAUCAUUAAAUAUCUUAUCCUGUUUUCCUUAACAUUAGUCAAAUGAUAUGAAUUUUUGCAGAUGUCUCUAUUUGUUAGUUUUAUCUUCUCACAUUGAUGGAUUUCAAAAGCAGACAUAGGUAUACUGUUUCUGCAUCAACUAUGUAUUAGUUUUGGAUUAGGUCAGUUUAUAAUAACUCUAUUUAUUUCAAUAUUUACGAUAUUUAUUUCAUUGAGCUAAUUUAUGUGUAUGCAUUCUCUUAGGGAGCUACCAUUUGAUUUUUAUGGGGGGGGCUAGGAUGAAAAAUUUUGUCCUGCAUUUUUUUUUAGUUGUAAUCUCUGUCCUGCCUUUUUAUUUUUUCACUCUAUUCGGUCCUGCCUUUUUUUUUAUUAGUUUAUCCUGACUUUUUUUACCUAAAUUGUCAUCCUGCCUUUUUUUUUGGCAAAGUGUCUCAUCCUGCUUUUUUUUUUUACUCAAAACUCCUGUUUUUUCAAAUUUCAUCCUAGCCCCCCCAUAAAAAUCAAAUGGUAGCUCCCUUAAUCUUGUUUCUUAUAUGUACAAAAUUUUGAUAAACAUUUUUUUUUUCAGCAUUUUUCUUUAAAAGGAUAACAUAACUUAAAGAAAUUCAAAACUUAUCCAAAUAACAUUAACCAUAGCCAUGCUUACAUCAAUUAACGACAACUUUUUACUUUUUCAAAAAAACUGGUAAUGAUGUUGGAUGCCAUUUCUUUUAACAAAACAUUGUAACAGCAUGGAUCCCUGUAAGCACACUAAACUUCUAAGUGUAUCCUAUGUCAUAGACCAUAUAUAUUACAAUGUAAUAUAUUUUUACAAAUUUGAAGAACAUUUUGAUUGAAAAUAAUUUUACUCAUCUCUUAUGCUCUGCAGAUUCUAUACAUUGCACCUGGACUGGACACAAACACUGCACCUGGACUGAAGACAUAAACACUACACCUGGACUUAAGACAAAAUAUCCAUGUUGAAUGGGACUAGGGACCACUGGAACUUAAGUUCCUUCAAAAAACAUAUUCAUUAUUGACCUCUAUAUCGAUGUGUUAUGAUGAAAUCAUGUUUUUGAUAAUUGCAUUGAUUAAUGAUCAUGAAUUAAAACAUUGGAUUGACCUCGACC